GGAAAAGAAACCAACAGGGAUUGCCUCAGUAGCGGCGAGUGAAGCGGCAAAAGCUCAAAUUUGAAAUCUGGCGUCUUUGGCGUCCGAGUUGUAAUUUGAAGAAGGUAUCUUUGGGCCCGGCUCUUGUCUAUGUUCCUUGGAACAGGACGUCACAGAGGGUGAGAAUCCCGUGCGAUGAGAUGACCCGGGUCUGUGUAAAGUUCCUUCGACGAGUCGAGUUGUUUGGGAAUGCAGCUCUAAGUGGGUGGUAAAUUCCAUCUAAAGCUAAAUAUUGGCGAGAGACCGAUAGCGAACAAGUACAGUGAUGGAAAGAUGAAAAGAACUUUGAAAAGAGAGUGAAAAAGUACGUGAAAUUGUUGAAAGGGAAGGGCUUGAGAUCAGACUUGGUAUUUUGCAUGCUGCUCUCUCGGGGGCGGCCGCUGCGGUUUACCGGGCCAGCAUCGGUUUGGAGCGGCAGGAUAAUGGCGGAGGAAUGUGGCACGGCUUCUGCUGUGUGUUAUAGCCUCUGACGAUACUGCCAGCCUAGACCGAGGACUGCGGUUUUUACCUAGGAUGUUGGCAUAAUGAUCUUAAGUCGCCCGUCUU
RNAcentral lists this ribosomal RNA (585 nucleotides) under Candida albicans. RNAcentral's name for it is "eukaryotic LSU rRNA". It matches the Rfam family "Eukaryotic large subunit ribosomal RNA", at positions 55 to 655 of the family's 3401-position model. Lineage: Eukaryota; Fungi; Ascomycota; Pichiomycetes; Serinales; Debaryomycetaceae. The record is from RNAcentral.